CAGAGGGUGCAAGCGUUAAUCGGAAUUACUGGGCGUAAAGCGUGCGUAGUCGGUUAUCUAAGUCGGGUGUGAAAUCCCCGGGCUCAACCUGGGAAUUGCAUUCGAUACUGGAUAGCUAGAGUUCGGCAGAGGGAAGCGGAAUUUCGGGUGUAGCGGUGAAAUGCGUAGAUAUCCGAAGGAACAUCAGUGGCGAAAGCGGCUUCCUGGACCAGAACUGACGAUCAGGCACGAAAGCGUGGGGAGCAAACAGGAUUAGAUACCCUGGUAGUCCACGCCAUAAACGAUGACAACUAGACGUUGGGAGGGUAAGCCUCACAGUGUCGCAGCUAACGCGUUAAGUUGUCCGCCUGGGGAGUACGGCCGCAAGGUUG
This 371-nucleotide ribosomal RNA is filed under the name uncultured organism. Its description in RNAcentral is "bacterial SSU rRNA". It matches the Rfam family "Bacterial small subunit ribosomal RNA", at positions 526 to 896 of the family's 1533-position model. The record is from RNAcentral.